This is a long non-coding RNA of Schistocerca cancellata (South American locust), 284 nucleotides long. RefSeq lists it as uncharacterized. The transcript has 3 exons. The record is from RefSeq and is a predicted model, not a curated record. Lineage: Eukaryota; Metazoa; Arthropoda; Insecta; Orthoptera; Acrididae.
UCGCAUAGUUGCCAGUUUCAGUCUCUGUUGUCGCGCGUACAUUCUCGGAUGUAUCUCGUCGUGAUAACGUUCAUAUGACUGCAUUCCAAAGUUCCUUGCAGUAAGUAUGCUCCUGGAUGCGGUAUCCCAUGGAUUACGUAUGGACCAUCGUAGACAAGUCUCCACUUAGCAUUCCUAUGCAUCAGAGCUGAGGAUUUGUGUUUCAGAAUCAAUCACUGGAAAAAAUCCAAAGCUAAAGAAAUGCACAAAUUAAGAGUGCAGAAGUUUUACCAUAUAGCUUGGAG